CUUGACAGCGGUUUUGAGCCACCUGUUUAUUUGUGAGUGGUUAAAUUGGCUUUUCUAUGCAUGUGGGACUUCCCACGGUUAGAACCAAGCUGUCUCUGGAAAUUUCAUUCGAACUUCAUGCUGUAAAGUAAUCAGCGCUUAGGUUUUGUCGAGAACUAAAGUCAUUUGAUGUCUUGGAAAAAUUUCUAUCGGCGUUUUUUUUGAUUCGCCGAGCUUGUGCUUUUGACACUCGAGGAGAAAAGCGUCUCUUGCCAGAAGCGAUCUCCAGGAUUCCCUGUUCUGUCAAAAUAAGAAGUAAACAUAUUUGGACCACUGGAUUUAACAGACGCCUUCGUAAGGAGCAUGUUUAGCUGAUGAAGAAUGAGACAUGUAGGAGAAUGUGGGCAAGACUACCCAGACAUCUAUUCUAUUUGGCAGUUAUUUUCGCAACCUGCUGGCAAGGAACAGUUGCAUUAGUUAAACGCGAAACAGAAGAGUUCCGCCUUCUGAGGAACUUGUUUAAAGACUACGACAAAGAAGUGAGGCCAGUCUACAACACGAGCGACGUUGUCAAUGUUAAUUUCAGUUUGAGCUUGAUUCAGAUUAUUUCAGUGGUAAGUUGAUCUGACAAUCUGACGAAACGUUUGAUAAUUUUGGCCGAGCUCGAGAGGAUAUAAAAUAUGAUAAAUUCAACAAUACAGGCGUGUGAAAAAAACUGAAAACAAAACAACAGCCACAGCAACAGCCCAGUUAUCAUAAACUGUUACUAUAUUUUAAAUUUUAGCCCAAGGAAACAGAUAUGCGGAUAUUACGGUUUUUAGUAGUGAGCACUUAAUGUGUUCUUCUGAGAAUUUCUGAACCCAAUUGGUUUAUGGUUUGAUGUUUAUUCUCCGACAGAAUGCGAU
This is a long non-coding RNA of Orbicella faveolata, 884 nucleotides long. The record is from RefSeq and is a predicted model, not a curated record. Lineage: Eukaryota; Metazoa; Cnidaria; Anthozoa; Scleractinia; Merulinidae.